UAGGAAACUAUUUUAUAGAAUCACAUCAUCUCAGAACCACAAUUGUGAAUCCUUUUCCUUCAAAGGAAUUUACAAAUCAGUAAUGGUCUUGUCUAUUAUCAUUGGGGUUUUAUAUUGUUUCUCUUUUUGGUGAAACUGGGUGGUUGAACUGGGGCUUUCUUUGAGCUUCCUUGGCCAGAAUGCUACCUCUUGUAUCAUGUUCCUAUGACUUUUUUUUUCAUUAGCCUUCCAUUUUUCACUCAGGGCUGGCCUUAAUCCAGGAUCCUCUGAUUGUCUCCCAUAGGAUUACACAUGUUACAUGUGAGACUUCUUUGUGAGGAACUUUAUACUUAGUGAUUAAACUUUCAAAAGGUGGAUAUUGCUAUCUCUACCUCAUGGAAAAAGUUUUAUUAAGCAUUAUUUCUCUUUAAGCAUGAUAAAAAUGGAGAAAAAUUAAUGUCCUAACCAUUUGAAAUAGAUUUGACUCUAAUAAAUAUAGCUAUGUCAUUUAACAAAUCUGGAAGAAGUGAGAGAUCAUCAAUACCUUUCCAUCUGUUUUCUUACUCUUGUUAAGGAAAUUCUUAUGAACUCCUUCCUAUUACUAAUAACAUGAGCCCCUUUAGUAAGUAACUGUUAUACUAGAAAUGCAUUCCAAGUAUUUGGUUUUUGUUUGUUUUUUUCGCUUUUUGCAGUUCUGGGAUUUAAAUCCACAGCCUCACACAUGUAUAGCAAGUACUGUAAUGCAAAGCUCCACCAGAAAAA
This is a long non-coding RNA of Perognathus longimembris pacificus (Pacific pocket mouse), 741 nucleotides long. RefSeq lists it as uncharacterized. The transcript is spliced from 3 exons. NCBI's taxonomy places the organism in Eukaryota, Metazoa, Chordata, Mammalia, Rodentia, Heteromyidae. The record is from RefSeq and is a predicted model, not a curated record.